AUACGGAGGAUGCGAGCGUUAUCCGGAUUUAUUGGGUUUAAAGGGAGCGUAGGUGGGAUAUUAAGUCAGCUGUGAAAGUUUGGGGCUCAACCUUAAAAUUGCAGUUGAUACUGGUUUCCUUGAGUACGGUACAGGUGGGCGGAAUUCGUGGUGUAGCGGUGAAAUGCUUAGAUAUCACGAAGAACUCCGAUCGCGAAGGCAGCUCACCGGGCCGGAACUGACACUGAUGCUCGAAAGUGCGGGUAUCAAACAGGAUUAGAUACCCUGGUAGUCCGCACAGUAAACGAUGAAUACUCGCUGUUUGCGAUACACAGUAAGCGGCCAAGCGAAAGCGUUAAGUAUUCCACCUGGGGAGUACGCCGGCAACGGUGAAACUCAAAGGAAUUGACGGGG
Molecule: ribosomal RNA, 393 nt
Filed under: uncultured bacterium
Lineage: Bacteria
Description: partial 16S ribosomal RNA
Rfam family: Bacterial small subunit ribosomal RNA
Source: RNAcentral